This 429-nucleotide ribosomal RNA is filed under the name bacterium. RNAcentral describes it as "partial 16S ribosomal RNA". It matches the Rfam family "Bacterial small subunit ribosomal RNA", at positions 355 to 776 of the family's 1533-position model. The record is from RNAcentral.
UAGGGAAUCUUCCACAAUGGACGCAAGUCUGAUGGAGCAACGCCGCGUGAGUGAAGAAGGUUUUCGGAUCGUAAAGCUCUGUUGUUGGUGAAGAAGGAUAGAGGCAGUAACUGGUCUUUAUUUGACGGUAAUCAACCAGAAAGUCACGGCUAACUACGUGCCAGCAGCCGCGGUAAUACGUAGGUGGCAAGCGUUGUCCGGAUUUAUUGGGCGUAAAGCGAGCGCAGGCGGAAUGAUAAGUCUGAUGUGAAAGCCCACGGCUCAACCGUGGAACUGCAUCGGAAACUGUCAUUCUUGAGUGCAGAAGAGGAGAGUUGAAUUCCAUGUGUAGCAGUGGAAUGCGUAGAUAUAUGGAAGAACACCAGUGGCGAAGGCGGCUCUCUGGUCUGCAACUGACGCUGAGGCUCGAUAGCAUGGGUAACGAACAGG